This 31-nucleotide non-coding RNA is filed under the name Homo sapiens (human). Lineage: Eukaryota; Metazoa; Chordata; Mammalia; Primates; Hominidae. The record is from RNAcentral.
UGUCCUCAUCCAGAAAACAUUCUGGAGCAGC